UUAGGUAAAGCUUCUGAGAAAGGUUGAAGGGCUCCGUUUAAAACCAGGGCAAGGAAGGCCUAUGAGGUUCCUAAAAUAAAAAUCAACCUCAAGGUAGCCAUAUCUAGGCUGAUGAUAUGGGAUCAAAACCUUAAAAUGUGUGAGGUAGGGCUGGUUCUGACACAAUGCAUCAUUCAUAUCACUAUCCCUUCUGGACACAGUGAAAAGAAUGAAGGGAAGAAUUUCUGAGAAUGAGAGUAUCAUCUGAAAGACUUGCAACCUCAGAGUCCAGGUGAAGAGG
This 280-nucleotide long non-coding RNA is filed under the name Homo sapiens (human). Its description in RNAcentral is "HSALNT0008512". Lineage: Eukaryota; Metazoa; Chordata; Mammalia; Primates; Hominidae. The record is from RNAcentral.